Molecule: long non-coding RNA, 1048 nt
Organism: Astatotilapia calliptera (eastern happy)
Lineage: Eukaryota; Metazoa; Chordata; Actinopteri; Cichliformes; Cichlidae
Source: Ensembl
GAGCUCAGCCCAGUUCUUUUUGUUAAGAAGGCUAAGGCCACUGGUUACCAAGCAGCUUGUUUUAUGUGUCUGCAGUUAGCCUUUCUGUUUCCUUCUUCUUAGGCUAAAACUGGGUUCUGGACAUCUGCACAACCGGCACAAGGACAUUACAUUCAAACUCAGAGGAUUCAUAUUUUAGGUCUGCAAUGAGAAAUCUUCCUGAAAUUCAGGGUAAGCACCUCCAUUAUUAUUUGGACAUCAGCAAAUAAAAAUGAUUCCAACCAAGUUGUUACAGCCAUUGUCCUCAGUUUCUUUUGAAAGACAAACACAAUUUGCUGCGUGUCAAGAUCUCUCCUUUGCAAGAAACAAAUAUUUUAGGCUUAGAAACACUGACAGGAAGUGUGAUGUGCAGAGCAUCGGGCCACCAGAUUUCUCAGUGAAACUGUACAGCAGUCUGUCUACUUCAGAAAUAAGGGAAAGAAAGAAAAAUAUAAAGAUAGUUGCACCUCAGCCCAAAGAAAUGAAGAGGAGAUAUCAGACGUUUCUACCAAAUUCUCUGUCCUCGUGUCCAAAGAGAAAAGAACCUCCAAAGUUCAUCACUUCACACAGGCCUCCUGAUGCUCUGGAGACUGAACUGAUGUUUGUCAAGAUUGGAAAGUAUCAUUCUGGGACGUACAAGAACCACAAACCUCAUGACUUCAGACCACUUGAUGAGGAGCUUCCAGACAUGAUAACUGCACAUGAGAGAGAUCCUGGCAACUUGAAGUUAAAAUUAAAGCAUUUGGACACUUAGACACAAACAAAGAAGAGAAGCGUACAGUGCUUUCCUCGACCGUGUGGAAGAGAAACUUGGGAGAACCUGGAAAAAUAAACCGUGACUCUCUGUCGUCCUUUAGCCCUGUAGCUCUGAGGUUUUGAGACUUCUACAUCAUCAGUGUGAUUUUACUUUUUACAAUACAUUUUUAAGCAAUUAACUACACACAAAAGCCAGAUGUAGCAAAUGUUAUGUUUUCCUAUUUACUUAUCAGAAGGUUUAAUAAACAUUUGAAUAAACAAACCAGUUUCAAAA